UCCAGGCCCUACGGGGCGCAGCAGGCGCGAAACCUUCGCACUGCGCGAAAGCGCGACGAGGGGAGACCGAGUGCCUCUCCUUUUUUUGGGGAGGCUUUUCACAAGCCUAAAAAGCUUGUGGAAUAAGGGCUGGGCAAGACGGGGUG
This 146-nucleotide ribosomal RNA is filed under the name uncultured archaeon. RNAcentral's name for it is "partial 16S ribosomal RNA". It matches the Rfam family "Archaeal small subunit ribosomal RNA", at positions 315 to 457 of the family's 1478-position model. The record is from RNAcentral.